GACGAACGCUGGCGGCGUGCUUAACACAUGCAAGUCGAACGGAAAGGCCCGGCUGCUGUGGGGUGCUCGAGUGGCAAGCGGGUGAGAAACACGUGAGUAACCUGCGCAUGACUGUGGGAUAACUUCGGGAAACUGGGCCUAAUAGCGGAAUGGAGUUCCUGCUGCAGGGUGUGGGUUGGAAAGAUUCGGCGGCUGGGGAUGGAGCCGCGGCUUAUCAGCUUGGUGGUGGGGUAGUGGACUACGAAGGCUAUGACGGGUGGCCGGCCUGAGAGGGUGACCGCCCCCAUUGGGCCUGAGAUACGGCGCACAUUCCUACGCGAGGCAGCGGUGGGGAGUAUUGCAGAAUGGGCGGAACCCUCAUGCCGCGCAGCCGUGUGCGGGAUGACGACCUUCGCGUUGUAAACAGCUUUCGCAUCAGACGAAGCGUGAGUGACGGUACUUGGUAAAGAAGCACCGGCUAACUACGUG
RNAcentral lists this ribosomal RNA (468 nucleotides) under uncultured bacterium. RNAcentral's name for it is "partial 16S ribosomal RNA". It matches the Rfam family "Bacterial small subunit ribosomal RNA", at positions 28 to 507 of the family's 1533-position model. The record is from RNAcentral.